GGGCGAUUAGCUCAGUUGGUAGAGCAGCUGACUCUUAAUCAGCAGGUCGUAGGUUCGAGCCCUACAUCGCUCA
Molecule: transfer RNA, 73 nt
Filed under: Planctomycetota bacterium
Lineage: Bacteria; Pseudomonadati; Planctomycetota
Also listed under: 1 other name
Description: Planctomycetes bacterium (marine sediment metagenome) tRNA-Lys
Rfam family: tRNA
About the family: Transfer RNA (tRNA) molecules are approximately 80 nucleotides in length.
Source: RNAcentral